GGCAACCUUACCAGGACAAGACAUGAGAAGGAUUGACAGACUGAUCGCUCUUUCUUGAUUUUAUGGGUGGUGGUGCAUGGCCGUUCUUAGUUCGUGGAGUAAUUUGUCUGGUUAAUUCCGUUAACGAACGAGACCUUAACUUGCUAAUUGGGAUAUGUAUUCUAUACAUAAGCCCUCUUAGAAGGACCAUGUGUACAUAACGCAAGGAAGCGUGAGGCAAUAA
This 223-nucleotide ribosomal RNA is filed under the name uncultured eukaryote. RNAcentral's name for it is "partial 18S ribosomal RNA". It matches the Rfam family "Eukaryotic small subunit ribosomal RNA", at positions 1208 to 1456 of the family's 1831-position model. The record is from RNAcentral.